AGAUUCAUUCUCUCCAUGGACAGAAGGAGCAGUACUGCAAGCCCAGCUCCCAGCAACUUCAGAAGCUAAAAGGUCUGCUGUCCUGAUUGUGUCCUCCAUGGUUUUUUGACUCAGAGGAUUAUUCAAUUGUGAGUGAUUAACAGUUUCCUGACAAGUUGGGGGAAUCUGCUCAUCAAUUUCAUGCCCAUGGGCUUCAUCCUCAAGCUGCAUAGUCUCACCAGCUAAAGUUUCAGGUUUGUUCAAAUCAAUAUUCUGCUCACCAUCAAUCCCAGGGCUUUCAGUUUCAUGAACU
Molecule: long non-coding RNA, 292 nt
Filed under: Citrus sinensis (sweet orange)
Lineage: Eukaryota; Viridiplantae; Streptophyta; Magnoliopsida; Sapindales; Rutaceae
Description: long non-coding RNA (CSIN_LNC004090)
Source: RNAcentral